UGGGGAAUUUUGGACAAUGGGGGAAACCCGUGAUCCAGCCAUCCCGCGUGUGCGAUGAAGGCCUUCGGGUUGUAAAGCACUUUUGGCAGGAAAGAGACGUCGCGGGUUAAUACCCCGCGAAACAUGACGGUACCUGCAGAAUAAGCACCGGCUAACUACGUGCCAGCAGCCGCGGUAAUACGUAGGGUGCAAGCGUUAAUCGGAAUUACUGGGCGUAAAGCGUGCGCAGGCGGUUCGGAAAGAAAGAUGUGAAAUCCCAGAGCUUAACUUUGGAACUGCAUUUUUAACUACCGGGCUAGAGUGUGUCAGAGGGAGGUGGAAUUCCGCGUGUAGCAGUGAAAUGCGUAGAUAUGCGGAGGAACACCGAUGGCGAAGGCAGCCUCCUGGGAUAACACUGACGCUCAUGCACGAAAAGCGUGGGGAGCAAACAGGAUUAGAUACCCUGGUAGUCCACGCCCUAAACGAUGUCAACUAGCUGUUGGGGCCUUCGGGCCUUGGUAGCGCAGCUAACGCGUGAAGUUGACCGCCUGGGGAGUACGGUCGCAAGNUUAAAACUUAAAUAAAUUGACGGGGGUCAUAGCUGUUUUCCCU
This 591-nucleotide ribosomal RNA is filed under the name uncultured bacterium. RNAcentral's name for it is "partial 16S ribosomal RNA". It matches the Rfam family "Bacterial small subunit ribosomal RNA", at positions 355 to 940 of the family's 1533-position model. The record is from RNAcentral.